GACGAACGCUGGCGGCGUGCUUAACACAUGCAAGUCGAACGGAAAGGCCCUGCUUUUGUGGGGUGCUCGAGUGGCGAACGGGUGAGUAACACGUGAGUAACCUGCCCUUGACUUUGGGAUAACUUCAGGAAACUGGGGCUAAUACCGGAUAGGAGCUCCUGCUGCAUGUUGGGGGUUGGAAAGUUUCGGCGGUUGGGGCUGGACUCGCGGCUUAUCAGCUUGUUGGUGGGGUAGUGGCUUACCAAGGCUUUGACGGGUAGCCUGCCUGAGAGGGUGGCCGGCGACAUUGGGACUGCGAUACGGCGCAGUCUCCUACGGGAGGCAGCAGUGGAGAAUAUUGCACAGUGGGCGCAAGCCUGAUGCGGCAACGCCGCGUGCGGGAUGCCGGCCUUCGGGUUGUGAACCGCUUUCGCCUGUGACGAAGCGUGAGUGACGGUACUGGGUAAAGAAGCACCGGCUAACUACGUG
RNAcentral lists this ribosomal RNA (468 nucleotides) under uncultured bacterium. Its description in RNAcentral is "partial 16S ribosomal RNA". It matches the Rfam family "Bacterial small subunit ribosomal RNA", at positions 28 to 507 of the family's 1533-position model. The record is from RNAcentral.